AGUUCUGCUGCAAGAUAUAAACAAUUAAAAAAAAAUAAAAAGAAGGGUUAAUAUUCCAGCCACUAAUUACAUUUAUAUGUUCUGUAUAAGCUGAUGACCUUCUUCCCAGUUAGCAUGCCUGACAAGAUUUUGAUUGUGACAUCAUUUGCAAAAGUUAAUUAUGAAAUACCAAGAGAGGUUGCGGAAGUGUAUUUCUAGUUAGAGCUAGUCUCUAAGCAAUAUAUAGCAGUUGAUGGAGUGCUAAGAAAGAUUGCCCUAUCAAACUCCCAAUAUUGUGAAAGAUCUAGAUGCCUUGGUAAAAUAUUUAAAAACAAAAAUUAAAAUGAGAGUAAUACAUGGCAAUUUUAUCUCAAGGGAACUAUGGUGGGAUGUUAUGGUACGUUAGUAUGGUUAUAAUAUGUAGUAAUUAUUAUUAGCACCAUACAUGAGCAGGUCUAAAACACAAAAUCAAGAGGGUCACUUGAUGGCAGCUGUAGCUUUGUCCUUGGGAAAAAGCAGUUGAUUUGAAAAUGAAAACAAGGUGAGAAAAUCUAAAUCUUGAAAUGCAAAUCUCAAGAGGGACACCCUAUUUGAUGGCAUCAAUAAGUUAGGAAAUAUCACUUAAAGCUAAACUAAAAGAGUGGCAGAAGCAGUUGAAUAUGGACACAAUAAUUUGUGGUAGGAAAACAGUGACAAGAAAUCAUGUGAUCUGAAACACCUGCUGGUGGGUGGGUAGAUGGGGACCUUAAGCAGUGGGAUAUGUGUAAUAAUGGGAAUUUGGAAUGCGGUAUCACAUGUUUAGAGAUGGGUAGAGCAAAAUUUACACCUCCCUCCUAUUAAAAAAAAUUUAAAAAAAAAAAAAGAAAAAAAAAAAAAAGAAAAUCCUUUCCUUGAAGUGGUAUUGCAAAUGAGCAAAUACAUACAUAUACAAAAUAUAGAAUAGAAUAUGCAAUAAUGAAAAGGGACAAAAAAAAAAGGGUAGAUGGUCAAAGUUGAGAAGAACGUGAACAUUGGAUUCCAGAAGCAAAUGCAAUGAAUGAUUCCAAUGGAGGAGUUGGAAAAGCAAACAAGGGUAGCCAGCCUACCUUAGAAGCCACGUUAUUGUACGUGUCAUUGAGAGUGAUAAAUAAGAAAGAAAGAGACUUACAUUGAAGGAUGAGGAGGAGGAGUUGUCAAAGGAAAGAGCAGGCUUUCUAGAAGAAGAAGAAGAAGAAAAGGAGGCGCAAGCAGCCACCACCAUCUUCCUGGCGGCCUUUCUGAGCUUUGAGGACGCUCCUCCCAUCCCCAUUUUAUCAAUUUCUCAGGUAUGAAGUUGAUAUAAUAGUAUUAGUAAUUAGGAAUUAGGAAUUAGGGAGCGGGGCGGGGCGGGCCUUAGCUGGGCUGGCAUAUAAACACAUAUAUAUAUGCCAAGAAGCUGAAAUUAAAAGUGCAGACAAGUCUCUGCAAAUUGUUCAGCAGCUGCCUGCCCCUUCACUUCUCACUUUUUCUUAUUCUUCUUCUUCUUUCUUUCUCACAUUUAUACACUGGUUGUUGGUAGUAUCAUCUCUUUCAAAGUUUCACCCACAAACUAUCACUUUUCUUUUCUCUCUUUUUUUUUUUUUUAACAUUUAUAUUUGUGACCAGUGACUGACUGCACUCCUUUAUCAUUAUAAUAAUGACUCCACUCCC
Long non-coding RNA from Ricinus communis (castor bean), 1647 nucleotides. RefSeq lists it as uncharacterized. The transcript has 2 exons. The record is from RefSeq and is a predicted model, not a curated record. Lineage: Eukaryota; Viridiplantae; Streptophyta; Magnoliopsida; Malpighiales; Euphorbiaceae.